RNAcentral lists this ribosomal RNA (484 nucleotides) under uncultured bacterium. RNAcentral describes it as "partial 16S ribosomal RNA". It matches the Rfam family "Bacterial small subunit ribosomal RNA", at positions 28 to 523 of the family's 1533-position model. The record is from RNAcentral.
GAUGAACGCUGGCGGCGUGCCUAACACAUGCAAGUCGAACGGAGUUUAUGAAGUUUUCGGAUGGAUUAAACUUAGUGGCGGACGGGUGAGUAACGCGUGGGUAACAUGCCUCAUACAGGGGGAUAACAGUUGGAAACGACUGCUAAAACCGCAUAACAUUGCGACACCGCAUGGUGAUGCAAUUAAAAAUUUAUAGGUAUGAGAUGGGCCCGCGUCUGAUUAGCUAGUUGGUGAGGUAAUGGCUCACCAAGGCGACGAUCAGUAGCCGGCUUGAGAGAGGGACCGGCCACAUUGGGACUGAGACACGGCCCAAACUCCUACGGGAGGCAGCAGUGGGGAAUAUUGCACAGUGGGGGAAACCCUGAUGCAGCGACGCCGCUUGAGUGAAGAAGUAUUUCGGUAUGUAAAGCUCUAUCAGCAGGGAAGAAAAUGACGGUACCUGACUAAGAAGCCCCGGCUAACUACGUGCCAGCCGCCGCCGUAA